CAGUCGCCUCGGUAAUACAGAGGGUGCGAGCGUUAAUCGGAUUUACUGGGCGUAAAGCGUGCGUAGGCGGCUUCUUAAGUCGGAUGUGAAAUCCCUGAGCUUAACUUAGGAAUUGCAUUCGAUACUGGGAAGCUAGAGUAUGGGAGAGGAUGGUAGAAUUCCAGGUGUAGCGGUGAAAUGCGUAGAGAUCUGGAGGAAUACCGAUGGCGAAGGCAGCCAUCUGGCCUAAUACUGACGCUGAGGUACGAAAGCAUGGGGAGCAAACAGGAUUAGAUACCCGUGUAGUCCCUGUCUCUUAUAC
RNAcentral lists this ribosomal RNA (301 nucleotides) under uncultured bacterium. RNAcentral's name for it is "partial 16S ribosomal RNA". It matches the Rfam family "Bacterial small subunit ribosomal RNA", at positions 509 to 807 of the family's 1533-position model. The record is from RNAcentral.